This 336-nucleotide ribosomal RNA is filed under the name uncultured bacterium. Its description in RNAcentral is "partial 16S ribosomal RNA". It matches the Rfam family "Bacterial small subunit ribosomal RNA", at positions 338 to 688 of the family's 1533-position model. The record is from RNAcentral.
CCUACGGGUGGCAGCAGUGGGGAAUAUUGGGCAAUGGGCGCAAGCCUGACCCAGCAACGCCGCGUGAAGGAAGAAGGCUUUCGGGUUGUAAACUUCUUUUCUCAGGGACGAAGAAAGUGACGGUACCUGAGGAAUAAGCCACGGCUAACUACGUGCCAGCAGCCGCGGUAAUACGUAGGUGGCAAGCGUUAUCCGGAUUUAUUGGGUGUAAAGGGCGUGUAGGCGGGAGCGCAAGUCAGAUGUGAAAACUCAGGGCUCAACCCUGAGCCUGCAUUUGAAACUGUGUUUCUUGAGUGCUGGAGAGGCAACGGGAAUGCCGGGGGUGGGGGGAAAAGG